Non-coding RNA from Peromyscus maniculatus bairdii (prairie deer mouse), 247 nucleotides. Lineage: Eukaryota; Metazoa; Chordata; Mammalia; Rodentia; Cricetidae. The record is from RefSeq and is a predicted model, not a curated record.
CUCUAGGGCUGCCAGGGCCGGCCAGAGCCGGCUUUGUCCUGGAUGAUGCAGCCUGUUCCUGACCGCCUACACAGAAGAGAAGUCAUCAAUACAUGAUUUACAAAUCCUUGGUUCUUAUUCACUAAAGCAAACCACCACAAUGGCAUCCGCAGAAACAGCGAAUAUGACUGAGCUUGCAAAGCCUUGUGUCAGCCCUCAACUGGAACAGGAAGGAGUUUAUUGACAAAUACAUUUUCCACACACUACA